This 444-nucleotide ribosomal RNA is filed under the name uncultured Lactobacillus sp. RNAcentral describes it as "bacterial SSU rRNA". It matches the Rfam family "Bacterial small subunit ribosomal RNA", at positions 79 to 508 of the family's 1533-position model. Lineage: Bacteria; Bacillati; Bacillota; Bacilli; Lactobacillales; Lactobacillaceae. The record is from RNAcentral.
UUAAACAUUUUAUCGAGCGGCGGACGGGUGAGUAACACGUAGGUAACCUACCCAAAACGAGGGGGAUAACAUCUGGAAACAGGUGCUAAUACCGCAUAACAACAUUUAUCGCAUGAUAGAUGUUUGAAAGAUGGUUUCGGCUAUCACUUUUGGAUGGACCUGCGGCGUAUUAGUUAGUUGGUGAGGUAACGGCUCACCAAGACGAUGAUACGUAGCCGAACUGAGAGGUUGAUCGGCCACACUGGGACUGAGACACGGCCCAAACUCCUACGGGAGGCAGCAGUAGGGAAUCUUCCACAAUGGACGAAAGUCUGAUGGAGCAACGCCGCGUGAGUGAAGAAGGGUUUCGGCUCGUAAAACUCUGUUGUUAAAGAGGAACAUAUCUGAGAGUAACUGUUCAGGUAUUGACGGUAUUUAACCAGAAAGCCACGGCUAACUACGUGC